GCGUAGAUCUUGCGGAGAGUC
RNAcentral lists this non-coding RNA (21 nucleotides) under Arabidopsis thaliana (thale cress). The record is from RNAcentral. Lineage: Eukaryota; Viridiplantae; Streptophyta; Magnoliopsida; Brassicales; Brassicaceae.